This 429-nucleotide ribosomal RNA is filed under the name Acidobacteriota bacterium. RNAcentral's name for it is "Acidobacteria bacterium partial 16S ribosomal RNA". It matches the Rfam family "Bacterial small subunit ribosomal RNA", at positions 355 to 776 of the family's 1533-position model. Lineage: Bacteria; Pseudomonadati; Acidobacteriota. The record is from RNAcentral.
UGGGGAAUUUUGGACAAUGGGGGAAACCCUGAUCCAGCCAUCCCGCGUGUGCGAUGAAGGCCUUCGGGUUGUAAAGCACUUUUGGCAGGAAAGAAACGUCAUGGGUUAAUACCCCGUGAAACUGACGGUACCUGCAGAAUAAGCACCGGCUAACUACGUGCCAGCAGCCGCGGUAAUACGUAGGGUGCAAGCGUUAAUCGGAAUUACUGGGCGUAAAGCGUGCGCAGGCGGUUCGGAAAGAAAGAUGUGAAAUCCCAGAGCUCAACUUUGGAACUGCAUUUUUAACUACCGGGCUAGAGUGUGUCAGAGGGAGGUGGAAUUCCGCGUGUAGCAGUGAAAUGCGUAGAUAUGCGGAGGAACACCGAUGGCGAAGGCAGCCUCCUGGGAUAACACUGACGCUCAUGCACGAAAGCGUGGGGAACAAACAGG